CCUCGCCAUUCUUAUCAACAAAACGACAAUACGUCUGUUAAAAUGAAGCUUCUAGUUUUAAUUGGAAUCUUGUCAAUCUAUUUCCUGUAUAACGUCAACGGGAAUGACACUAGAUUGUGGUAAGAAUAAGACUACAAUAUCACACGUAGUCAACUGUUUUACAACACCGUGUUAUCCUAUACUCAAAUGUGUCGAAAAAUCUGAAAAUUUGUGUUCUCAAUACAAACCAUGUAUGCACAAUGGUGUAUGUCAACCACAAGAUAAUGGAGAUUUCAAAUGUACUUGUCAAAUCUGGAACAUCGGUCGCUACUGCGAACAUUUUAUCAUACUGCCUUAAAUCCUUUACUAACUACUCCUUUCCGCGUCAACUAUCCGUUGGUGAAUAAAAUAAAGUAAUCAAAUUGACUACCUUCUUAUUCUAUAACUAAAAUAAACGUUACAUUCCUCGAAUUACACCCCGUCUUAUCUGUAGAUGGGAUUGCUGAGGGCAUAGUUGCUCAUGCCGGAUCAACUAUCAACAAUAGACUAAAUAGAA
Patella vulgata (common limpet) is the source of this 535-nucleotide long non-coding RNA. RefSeq lists it as uncharacterized. The record is from RefSeq and is a predicted model, not a curated record. The transcript has 4 exons. Lineage: Eukaryota; Metazoa; Mollusca; Gastropoda; Patellidae.